CCGCCAUACCGCGUGGGUGAAGAAGGCCUUCGGGUUGUAAAGCCCUUUUGUUGGGAAAGAAAUCCAGCUGGUUAAUACCCGGUUGGGAUGACGGUACCCAAAGAAUAAGCACCGGCUAACUUCGUGCCAGCAGCCGCGGUAAUAAAGCAGCAGCG
Molecule: ribosomal RNA, 155 nt
Filed under: uncultured Stenotrophomonas sp.
Lineage: Bacteria; Pseudomonadati; Pseudomonadota; Gammaproteobacteria; Lysobacterales; Lysobacteraceae
Description: partial 16S ribosomal RNA
Rfam family: Bacterial small subunit ribosomal RNA
Source: RNAcentral